AUAAACCUUAACCAUUCUUUAUAAAAUGUGUGCUUCCCUCAAUCAAGAAACACGGAAACAACAAACAAUAAGCACAUCGGCAGUAAAAAAUUUGUAAACACUUUAUAUGAGAGUUAAUUUAGAAAAUCCAAAAUCCUUUUGUUUGUAACCUAACCUAGUAAUGGUUGUCUUCCUCAACAAUUUGACUGUACAAAGCUAGAUGGUUGAGAAGAUUGAACACAAUUAGUGCGCCUAGUAGGUGUUUAAGUGUAAGUCUGAUUUUGUAGUGAACUAGUUGAUUAAAUCCUUCAGGUUGAAGGGAUUUGAUGUGGUAAAUCAGGAUAAAUUGUGUUUCUUUACCUUAUUUUCUUUUAUCUACAGUGAUUUACCCAUGUAAAAAAGUCUUUUAAUUAGAAAACACAAUUAAUUCAUUCUAUUUAUUGUGUUUUUCCUUCUACAAAUCCAACCUAAUGGACGCCAUCAACUUGGUUCUCGGCAUCAAAAUCGGACAACUAUGUGGCGCAGAACUAAAAAAUCUCAUCUAGGCCUUAGCGAAAAAGAGAGAGAGAGAGAGAGCAGAAAGGACAUAUAACAUUUAUUCACUUGGUUUAUCAACUCGCCAACAACUCCAACAUCAAAGUCACUAGAACCAUCACCUCCGUUGGCGCCAAUGAGCACAGCUUCGACGGGGAUAACCAAAUAAUUAUUUGGUAAAGCUGCUAAAGGAAGAAGAUGCUGGAUUGUCCGAUUUUGGGGUUUAUUAGUUUAAGAUCCACUAAGUUGUAAUUUUUUUAUAUAUUUAAGUCUAAACAUAACUAAAAUGAUGUCAUGCGAUGUGUACACCACUCUUUCUUAACACAUAAUUAACUAUAAUGACUAAUUUUGAAAAUGAUCAAAAUAAGA
Non-coding RNA from Cicer arietinum (chickpea), 882 nucleotides. The record is from RefSeq and is a predicted model, not a curated record. NCBI's taxonomy places the organism in Eukaryota, Viridiplantae, Streptophyta, Magnoliopsida, Fabales, Fabaceae.